GAUGAAGAACGCAGCGAAAUGCGAUAAGUAAUGUGAAUUGCAGAAUUCAGUGAAUCAUCGAAUCUUUGAACGCACCUUGCGCUCCUUGGUAUUCCGAGGAGCAUGCCUGUUUGAGUGUCAUUAAAUUCUCAAUCUUUACAACUUUGCGUUGUCUAGAUUGGAAGUGGGGGUUUAUCUGUGUGGAAUUCAGUUCCUCACUCCCCUUAAAUGUAUUAGCUGGAAUGCCUCCGCAUAUCUGACUAUCAGUGUGAUAAUUAUCUAUGCUGUAGUUGUUGCGUGAGGGUAUCUGCUUCAAAAAUCGUCGCAAGACAAAUUCUAUAUGACCAUCUUGACCUCAAAUCAGGUAGGACUACCCGCUGAACUUAAGCAUAUCAAUAAGCGGAGGA
This 386-nucleotide unclassified non-coding RNA is filed under the name soil metagenome. RNAcentral describes it as "partial contains 5.8S ribosomal RNA, internal transcribed spacer 2, and large subunit ribosomal RNA". The stretch from base 1 to 120 matches the Rfam family "5.8S ribosomal RNA", at positions 35 to 154 of the family's 154-position model. The record is from RNAcentral.